RNAcentral lists this long non-coding RNA (16255 nucleotides) under Nicotiana tabacum (common tobacco). Its description in RNAcentral is "long non-coding RNA (NTAB_LNC010894)". Lineage: Eukaryota; Viridiplantae; Streptophyta; Magnoliopsida; Solanales; Solanaceae. The record is from RNAcentral.
CUCAAGGAUUGGUAGUACAAGUGACGAGCCGCUAAGACUUAAAAUAACAAAGGUGGUGUUAAAUAAUACAACAUCUAUUUGGAAUAUACAUAAACAGAAUUUAUAAUUUAAAACUACCAAGGACAAGUGGUAGCUAUAUCUGGAAGGUAGUUACAUCUUCAAUGUCAGCUCCCGCCAUACGUAGUAGCAUCAGCUCCUAAUUUUGUACACAAGGUGCAGAAGUGUAGUAUGAAUACAACCGACCUCAUGUACUGAAUACGUAUCAUAACUAACCUCAGUGAGGUAAUAGAAGAAAGAAUUAUAAAUGAUACUUGCUAUCACCUGUAUAAUUCAUAAAUUCCAACAAGUACAAGACAAAAAUAUGAUCAAAUCAUGAAAUCAAAGAUAAAACCAUCUUGGUGCUCACAUGUUUUUUCAAUGUAUUCAUUUCAGAUAUACAUCCAAGGAAAUUGCAAGUAAAUAAUAAAUGCAAUAACCAACUAUCAACCUGUUGCGACGCACAACUCGAUCUUGUAACGACCCGAACGGUCGUUUUGAGAAUUAACGCCUCGAUACCUUAUUAACUGCUUUCUCCUUGUUUAUUUCUACUAUUUUGAUUUGCCGGGAUGAUUCGUUUUGAGUUUCGGAGAGUUUUGGGACACUUAGUCCCUAAAUGAGAGUUUAAGUCUUAGAAAUUGGACCGUAGUCGGAGCAGUGUGAAGACGGGUCCGGAAUGAAAUUCCAUCGAUUCCGUAAGCUCUGUUGGGUGAUUUUGGGCUUCGGGGGCGUGUCUAGAUUGUGUUUUGGAGGUCCGUAGCUUAUUUAGGCUUGAAAUGCCGAAAGUUGAAUUUUUGAAAUUUUCGGGCCGAUAGUGAAAUUUUGAUAUCAGGGUCAGUAUCCGAUUCCUGAAGUUGGAAUAGGUCCGUAAUAUUGAAUAUGACUUGUGUGCAAAAUUUGGAGUCAAUCGGACGUGAUUUGCUUAGUUUCGGCAUCACUUGUAGGAUUUUGAAAUUUCAAGUUCAUUAAGUUUGGAUUAGAGGGUAAUUCAUGAUUUUAGCGUUGUUUGGUAUGAUUUGAGGGCUCAACUAAAUUCGUAUGAUAUUUUAGGAUUGGUUGGUAUGUUUGGUUGAAGUUCCGGGGGCUUCGGGUGUGUUUCGGAUGCUCAACGAGUCAUUUUUGGACAUAGAAGGAUAGCAGAUUUGUUGGUUUUUCUGUUGAAGACAAUUGUUCUUCGCAUUCGCGAAGGGGAGAUCGCGUUAGCGAAGGCUAUCCAGUGGAAGCAUCGCGAACGCGAGGAGCUGAGCGCAUUCAAAAAGAGAAAAAGGCGGAGCAGCUGGGACCUCAGAAAGUUGCUCUACGCGUUCGCGAGUAAGGGGCCGCGUUCGCGAAGGUCCUGACAGCUGAAGCUACAUGUUUGCAAGAGGACCCUUGCGUUUGCGAAAGAGGAAUUUGGGCCAGUGGGAUUUUGUUCAUCGCGUUCGCAAUGGUAGUCUUGCGUUCGCGAAGAAGAACGCAUCUGGGUAGAGUAUAAAAUCCAAAAUCGAGGGUUUGAGUUCAUAAUUUCAAAAAUUGAUUGAGUGCUCGGUAGAAGGUGAAAUUUGGAGAGAAUUUCGGAGGAAUUUUGGGGGUAAUGAUUCCUAACUCCUUUUUGAUUAUAUCCCAUUAAUCUAAACAUGAAUUCAUCAUCUAAUUUCGGAUUUGGGGUGAAAAAUUGGGGAAAAUUGAGAAAAGUUGUUAGGCCUAAUUUUGGUAUUUUGAUCGAGAUUUUGGUAUCGGAUUCGAGUGAAUUUGGUAUGGUUAGACUCGUGAGUGAAUGGGUAAUCAUAAUUUGUGACUUUUACCCGAUUCUGAGACGUGGUCCCGGGGAGGAGUUUUGGGCGUUUUUCUAUUUUCUUGCCUUAGCUUCGAUUUCAUUAGCUAAACUAGUUGUUAGUAGUUAUAUUUACGUUAUGAUAUUAAUUUGAUUAGAUUUGGGCCACUCUAAGUUGGAUACUCGUGGCAAGAGCGUGAUUUCAGAUUGAUUUGAGCUUGGUUUGAGGUAAGUGGCUUGCCUAACCUUGUAUGGGGGAACUCCCCUUAAGAUUUUGGUUAUGUUGUUAUAUGAAUGCUGUGUACGUGAGGUGACGAGUGCGUACACAUGCUAAUUAUUGAGAAAAACCCCAUUUUCAUUAAGCAAAUAUCUGUGUUUUCACUUUAAUUGAGAAUACUAGUUCAUGUAGUCUCUUGCUUAGCUUUGGAAAGCAUAUCUACAUGCCUUAACUGUCUUAUCUGUUUAAACUAUUUUACUUCGACAACGUGCAACAUAUUUAGGGUAGGAAUUACCUGUUUCUUUGAUGCUAACUUGAUUAGAACUGUAUACUUCUUGGCUGAGACUGUUGUGCAUAUUGAUAUUGCGUAUUUACUUUGGGACUAUGGAACGGUAUUCCGGGAGAUCCCCCUUGCCUAUUUACCUUGGGACUACGUAUCGGUAUUUCGGGAGAUCCCCCCUGAACAUUUAUAUUUGGUACUACGGGACAUUAUCCUAGGAGAUCCCCCUGUACAUUUACGACUUGGACUACUAGACAGUAUCCUAGGAGAUCCUCUAUUCAUUUACAUUUGGGACUACGAGAUGUUAUCUUGGGAGAUCCCCUGUUGCUACAUCUGUGUGUUGAGUUAUUUAUUCUUGCGAUUUCAUAUUUAUUGAAUGUUAAUAUCUUUAAUUAUACUAUCUCAUUUCACAUUAUUUUUCCUUGAUAUAUAUAUAACCAGUAGGUCCCUGACCUGAUCUCGUCACUAGUCGAUCGAGGUUAGGGUUGGCAUUUACUGGGUACUGCUGUGGUGUACUCAUGCCCUUUCAUGAACAUAUUUUUUGUGUGAUGAUCCAGGUUUUUAUGCUCAUCCAUACUAUCCGUGAGACGGGACGAUUCAGAGACUUCAAGUUAUAUCUGCCGCGUCUGCAGACCUAGAAGUCCCUCUCUAUUCUCCCAUCAGUUAUAGGCUUUUCCCUGUAUUUCCUUGUUAUUAGACUUUUGGAGUUAGAAACCUUAUGUAUUCUUCUUUAGCUUGUGAUUCAUGAGAUUUCGGGUUUUGGAAGUGUUAUUAUUGGUCAAGAGUAUUAUUAUUGUAUAUGUCGAGCGGCAUUUUAAACACUUUAUCUAUAUUUACCUGUUAGAUGACUAGUUUGUACUUUUAACUUCCUUUUCCACAAUUUGUUAGGCGUACUUAGUCGUAGAGACUAGAUGCCGCCACGACAAUUCAUAUAGAGAGAACUUGGGUCGUGACAAGUUGGUAUUAGAGCUCUAGGUUCAUAAGAGUCAUGAAUCAUAAGCCGGUUUAUUAGAGCCAUGCGGAUCGGUACAGAGACGUCUGAACUUAUCUUCGAGAGGCUAUGUAACUGUUAGGAAAAUUUCACUUUAUUUGAUUCCUUUCAUGCGAGAUUAUUAAUUUCGAAAUUCUAAACCUUUGUCUUCUAUUCUCUCAUAGAUGAUGAGGACACAUGCUACCGGAGAUGAUCAGACACCCGCACCCCCUACUAGAGCUACCAGAUGUUGGGGCCAGGGUAGAGGCCAAGGACGCGUACGUGGUGCAGCCAGAGCACCCGCGCGAGUUGCUACAGAGGAGCCACCAGCAGCUCCAGCCAGAGCUUAGGCGCCUGAUACGCCUACUGCUACUACCACUCCAGCUCUCCAGGAGACCCUUGCACAGUUCAUGAGCAUGUACACCACUCUAGCUCAGGCAGAGUUAAUUCCCCUUGCUGCAGCCACAUCUCAGGUCGGGAAGGAGCAUAGACUCCCGCCGCCUUCACCCUAGAGCAACGGGUUCAGGUUGAUCAGAUCCUAGUGGUUAUACCGGUAUCGCCUGUAGCCCCAGUUCAACCCAAGGAUAAGGCAUCAACUUUAGAGGAUGAGCAGCGAAGGUUUUAGAGGUUCAAGAAGUACAAGCCUCCUACAUUAAGUGGUCUAGCAUCAGAUGAUGCCCAUGGAUUUCUGGAGGAGUGCCAUUGUAUCCUCCGCACUAUGGGUAUAUCGAGAUCGAGUGGGGUUUCUUUCACUGCCUUCCAGCUUUGAGGCAUAGCCUAUUAGUGGUGGCGUACUUUUGAGUUGGACAGUCCAGCUGAGGCAACUUCCCUUUCAUGUACCCAAUUUUCAGAUAUGUUUUUGAGGGAGUAGGUUCCUUAGAGCCUCAGGGAUGAAUGGCGUGCCAAGUUUGAGCAUUUACGCCAGGGAACUAUGACUGUUUCAGAGUACGCUGUCCAUUUCACUGACUUGGAUAGACAUGCACCAGCCUUGGUUUCUACAGUUCGUGAGAGAGUUCGCCGGUUUAUUGAGGAGCUCAUUCCCAGCAUCAGGUCUAGCAUGGCCCGGGAGUUGGAGAUGGAUAUUGCUUAUCAACAGGUGAUUAGCAUUGCUAGGAGAGUGGAGGGCAUUCUUGCUCGGGAUAUAGAGGAGAGAGAGGCCAAGAGGUCUCGAGAGUCAGGCCAUUAUUCUGGUGCCCAUGCUCCUGCUGCAAUUUGUCAUGGUAGGAGUUAUAUGAGUCACCCCGUUCAGUCAGCUCUUCCAGCAUCCAGUGGUAUUCUAGCUCCUCCUAGACCUCAAGAGCCUUAUUAUGCACCUCUAGUAUCUAGCAUGCCUCCUACAGGGGGUGCUUUCAGUGGUAAGUCCAGCAGACCUGGACUAAGCCAGUCACAACCGCCACAUCCUCCUAGAGCUUGUUUUAAGUGUGGAAAAACACGCCAUGUGGUGAGGGAUUGCCCUAGACUUAGGAGGGGUGCACCUCUAGAGACUUCUCAGCCACAACGUGCUCUGUAGAGUUCCCAAGCUAUGAUCACAACACCAAUUGCUACCCCACCUGCUCAGCCAGCUAGAGGUGGAGGUCGUGGAGGUAGAGGUCGCCCUAGAGGGGAAGGCCAAGCCAGAUACUAUGCCCUUCCUACCCGUACGGAGGCUGUCACCUCUGAUUCUGUCAUCACAGGUAUUGUUCUGAUCUGUCAUAGAGAUGCAUCGGUUUUAUUCGAUCUAGGCUCCACUUAUUCUUAUGUGUCCUCUUAUUUUGUCCUGCAUUUGGGAGUAUCUCGUGAUUCUUUGAGUUCCCCUAUUUAUAUUUCUACUCUUGUGGUAGAUUCCCUUGUUGUGGACUGUGUUUAUCGGUCGUGUUUGAUUGCUCUUAGUGGUUUUGAGACCAGAGCCGAUUUAUUGUUGCUCAGCAUGGUAGAUUUCGAUGUUAUCUUGGGAAUGGAUUGGUUAUCGCCCCAUUAUGCUAUUCUUGAUUGUCAUGCCAAGAUUGUGACUCUAGCUAUGCCAGGUGUACCACGAGUAGAGUGGAGGGGUACUUUAGAUCACACUCCCAGUAGAGUUAUAUCACUUCUUAAGGCUCAUCGAAUGGUUGAGAAAGGGUGUGACGCGUAUCUAGUCUAUGUGAGAGAUGUAAGUAGUUAUACCCCUAUAGUUGAUUCAAUCCCAGUAGUGAGGGAUUUUUCCGAUGUGUUUCCAACUGAUCUUUCAUGUAUGCCACCCGAUAGAGAUAUUAAUUUCGGCAUUGAUUUGUUGCCGGGCACUCAGCCCAUUUCUAUUCCUCCUUAUCAUAUGGCUCCUCCUGAGUUGAAGGAGAAGUUGCAAGAAUUACUUGAUAAGGGCUUUAUUCGGCUCAAUAUGUCACCUUGGGGAGCUCCUGUCUUGUUUGUGAAGAAAAAGGAUGGUUCUAUGCGUAUGUGCAUUGAUUAUCGCCAGUUGAACAAAGUUAUAGUGAAGAACCGGUAUCCUUUGCCUUGUAUUGAUGAUCUGUUUGACCAGUUAUAGGGUGCUCGAGUGUUUUCUAAGAUUGACUUGCAUUUAGGUUAUCAUCAGUUGAAGAUUCGGGAGCCAGAUAUCCCGAAAACUGCGUUCAGGACUCGGUAUGGUCAUUAUGAGUAGGGGUGUAUAUAGGUCGGAUUGGUUCGGAUUUUACAAUUACCAUACCAAGUCAAUUGUGUCGGAUUAUUAAAUCUAAAGACCAAACCAAACCAAUAAAACUCGGGUUUUUCACUCUCGGUUUUUCUCAGGUUAUUCGGAUUUUUUUCCGGUAAAAUCUUUGUAGAACAAAAUAUAUAAAUUAUACUCAAAAUAUUUCUUUAGUCCUAGUAAGAUACAACUAUAUAAAGUAUUUUCCAAGAAAAUAAUACGAAAUAUGAGAUAUGUCAUGACAUUAUCCUAAAAUAUUCAACAUUAAAGACAAUAAAAUUAUGUAAUAUAAAUAUUGCUAAUUAAAGCCAUAAUAAAAAUAAACAUAAUCUAAGAAUACUAAGUCAUGCUAAAAUAAGUAGACUAAUAAGGGAUUAUUAAAUACAUGACUAAACGCUAAAGAAAAAAUAAAAAUAUGUUAUGCAUUUUUAUCUAAAUUAUUGCAAAACAAAAAAUAGAUAUUCAAUACAUUCCCGUUCAUAGUAUUGAAUUAAAUGUCUUUUGUUAGAAUUAGUAUUGAUUUGAUUUUGGUUUGGGCUUUCGUUAGCACUAUUUAAUUUACUAAUGUUAAUGGCUAUAAAACUUAUUGGAACAUUCAAAAGUUCUAAGUCCAACCUUAAAAUAAUAUCUCAAAAACUAAAAUUAUAAAAUCUUUUAAGAAAGAUUUAUAAAUUACAUCACAAUAAGUAUAUUUAUAUAUUAAAUAUAUCUAAAAUUUAUAUAUUUGUAAUGUCGGGUUGGUUUGGUUUCGGUUUGACUUUAUUUAGUUAAAACCAAACCAAACCAAUUAUGGUCGGGUUUUUUUCCAACACCAAACCAAAUCAAACCAACACAUAGUCGGGUUUUUUUUCUCGGUUUGACUCGGAUUAUCGUGUUGGUGCGGUUUGUCGGUUUCCUUUGUACAACCCUAAUUACGAGUUCCUUGUUAUGUCAUUUGGGUUGACCAAUGACCCGACAACAUUUAUGUAUUUGAUGCACAGUAUAUUCCGACCAUAUCUUUACUCAUUCAUUAUUGUCUUUAUUGAUGACAUUCUGGUAUACUCCCGGAGUCGGGAAGAUCAUGAGCAACACCUGGGGAUAGUGCUUCAGACUUUUAGAGAAAAGAAAUUAUGUGCAAAGUUCUCGAAAUGUGAGUUCUGGUUGGAUUCCGUGACAUUCUUGGGUCACGUGGUAUCAAGUGAAGGGAUCAAGGUGGAUCCAAAGAAAGUGGAAGCAGUGCAACGUUGGCCCAGACCAUCCUCAGCUACAAAUAUCCGUAGUUUUCUUGGCCUGGCGAAUUAUUACCGUCGAUUUGUUGAGGGAUUUUCAUCUAUUGCAGCGCCUAUGACCAGGCUGACCCAGCAGGGUGCUCCAUUCAGAUGGACGGAAGAGUGUGAGGAGAGCUUUCAGAAGCUCAAGACAGCUUUGACUACAACCCUAGUAUUAAUAUUGCCUACAGGUUCGGGGUCUUAUACUGUAUAUUGUGAUGGCUCGAGGAUUGGUCUUCUAGCGGUAUUGAUGUAGGAUAGUAGGGUGAUUGCCUACGCGUCUAGAUAGUUGAAGGUGCAUGAGAAGAAUUAUCCUGUGCAUGAUCUCGAGUUAGUUGCUAUCGUUACGCCUUGAAGAUCUGGCGUCAUUAUUUGUACGGUGUUCCUUGUGAGAUUUAUACUGAUCACUAGAGUUUGCAGCAUCUGUUCAAGCAGAAGGACCUUAAUUUGCGUUAGAGGAGGCGGUUAGAGUUGCUGAAGGACUAUAAUAUCAUUAUCUUGUACCACCCGGGGAAGGCCAAUGUGGUGGCCGACUCUUUGAGUCGUCGGGCAAAGAGUUUGGGGAGUUUAACUUAUCUACUAGCAGCAGAGAGGCUUAUAGCGAUGGAUUUUUAGGCCUUAGCAAGUUAGUUUGUGAGAUUGGAUAUUUCGAAGCCCAGUCGGGUCCUAGCUUGUGUGGUUUCUUGGUCUUCCUUGUUUGAUCGUAUCAGAGAGCGUCAUUAUGAUGACCCUUAUUUGCUUGUCCUCAAGGACAAGGUUUUGCAGGGUGAUGCCAGAGAUGUGACCAUUGGUUAUGACGGGGUAUUGAGAAUGCAGGGUCGGAUAUGUAUACCCAAUAUUGAUGGGCUUCAGGAGUUGAUUCUAGAGGAGGCCUACAAUUUGCAGUAUUCCAUCCAUCCGGGUACCGCAAAGAUCUAUCAGGAUUUGAGGCAGCACUAUUGGUGGUUUUUCUAUUGCAGACAAUUGUUCUUCGCGUUCGCGAAUGGGAGAUCGUGUUCGCGAAGGCUGUCCAAUGGAAGCAUCGCAAACGCGAGGAGCUGAGCGCGUUCACGAAGAGGAAAAAUGGGAGCAGCUGGGACUUCAGAAAGUUGCUCUACGCAUUUGUGAGUAAGGGGUCGUGUUCGCCAAGGUCCUGGCAGCUGAAGCUAUGCGUUCGCGAGAGGACCCUCACGUCCGCGAAAGAGGAAUUUGGGCCAGUGGGAUUUUGUUCAUCGCGUUCGCGAUGGUAGUCUCGCAUUCGCAAAGAAGAACGCAUUUGGGCAGAAUUUAAAAUCCAAAAUCGAGGGUUUGAGUUCAUAACUUCAAAAAUUGAUUGAAAGCUCGGUAGAAGGCACAAUUUGGAGAGAUUUUUGAAGGAAGUUUGGGGGUAAUGAUUUCUAACUCCUUUAUGAUUAAAUCCCAUUAAUCUAAACAUAAAUUCAUCAUCUAAUUUCGGAUUUGGGGUGAAAAUUGGGGAAAGUUGAGAAAAGUCCUUAGGCCUAAUUUUGGGAUUUGGUAUCGGAUUCGAGUAAAUUUGGUAUGGUUAGACUCGUGAGUAAAUGGAUGUUCAUAAUGUGUGACUUUUACCCGAUUCUGAGACGUGGGCCCGAGGAGGAUUUUUGGGCAUUUUUCUAUUUUCUUGCCUUCGCUUCGAUUUCGUUAGCUAAAUUAGUUGUUAGUCGUUGUAUUUACGUUAUAAUAUUGAUUUGAUUAGAUUUGGUCCACUCGGAGUUGGAUACUCGUGGCAAGAGCGUGAUUUCUGAUUGAUUUGAGCUCGAUUUGAGGUAAGUGGCUUGCCUAACCUUGUGUGGGGAAACUCCCCUUAGGAUUUUGGUUCUGUUGUUAUAUGAGUGUCGUGUACGUGAGGUGACGAGUGCGUACACGUGCUAAUUAUUGAGAAAAACCCUAUUUUCAUUAAGCAAAUAUCUGUGUUUUCCCUUUUAAUUGAGAAUACUAGUUCAUGUAGUCUCCUGCUUAGCUUAGGAAAACAUGUCUACGUGCCUUAACCAUCUUAUCUGUUUAAACUGUUUUACUUGGACAACGUGCAACAUGUUUAGGAUAGGAAUUACCUGUUUCUUUGAUGCUAAUUUGAUUAGAAUUGUAUACUUCCUGGCCGAGACUGUUGUGCAUAUUGAUAUUACGUAUUUACUUUGGGACUACAGAACGAUAUUCCGGGAGAUCCCCCUUGCCUGUUUACUUUGGGACUAUGGAUCGGUAUUCCCAGAGAUCUCCCUACACAUUUAUAUUUGGGACUACGGGACGUUAUCCUGGGAGAUCCCCCUGUACAUUUACGAUUUGGACUACAAGACGGUAUCCCGUGAGAUCCUUAUUCAUUUAUGUUUGGGACUACAGGACGUUAUCUUGGGAAAUCCCCUGUUGCUAUCUCUGUGUGUUGAGUUAUUUCUUCCUGUGAUUUCAUAUUUAUUGAAUGUUAGCAUCUUUAAUUACUGUCUCAUUUCACAUUAUUUUUCCUUGUUAUAUAUAUAACUAGUAGGUCCCUGACCUGAUCUCGUCACUACUCAGCCGAGGUUAGGCUUGGCACUUACUGGGUACCGUUGUGGUGUACUCAUGCCCUUUCCUACACAUGUUUUUCGUGUGUAGAUCCAGGUUCUUCUGCUCAGCCAUACUAUCCGAGAGGCGAGGCUAUUCAUAGACUUUAAGGUAUAUCUGCCGCGUCCGCAGACCUAGAAAUCCCUCUCUAUUCUCCCUUCAGUCAUAGGCUUUUCCUUGUAUUUCCUUGUUAUUAGACUUCUGGAGUUAGAAACCUUAUGUAUUCUUCUUUAGCUUGUGAUUCAUGAGAUUCCGGGUUUUGGGACUGUAAUUAUUGGUCAAGAGUGCUAUUAUUGUAUAUGACGAGUGGCAUUUUAAACGCUUUAUCUAUAUUUACCUGUUAGAUGGCUAGUUUGUACUUUUAAAAUCCUUUUCCGCAAUUUGUUAGGCUUACCUAGUGGUAGAGACUAGGUGCUUCAAGACAGUUCACGGAGGGAGAACUUGGGUCGUGACAUAUCUAAACAAAAAUCACAUCACAGCUCUAGGGCCCACAUCAAAAUCUCGGUAAUCGAAUCAAAUUAAUAACCAGCUCUCCCAGAGCUCACAUCAACCAGAAAUCCGUCGAUUACUCAUAAUUCGCGUGUAUACUAUCAAGAGAGAAACAUGAGAGGGUGACCCUAGGGGGAUGGAUUCGUAUCCACACGAUGCAUGACCAAUUUAACAUGCUACAUGGACAACUCACGUGCUAAUAAUAUCAACCGCAUAGACGACUCACAUGCCAUAAUAUCAGUAUCUGGAUCCGCAUAGAUAACUCACGUUCUACACGGACAACUCACGUGUCAAUAAUCACAAUCUGCCCAGCGUGGUCAUAAGCUCAAUAUCACAAUCCGUCCAGCAUAGUCAUAGGCAUAACAACACAAUUCACCCGAUGUAAUCAGAGGCAUAACAACACAAUCCGUCCGAUGUGGUCACAUGCAUAACAACACAAUCUAUCCGGCGUGGUCACAAGCAUAACAACACAAUUCACCCGACGUGGUCACAAGCUUACCAACAUAAUCUGCCUAGCAUGGUCACAAGAGUUAGUCCAAAUCAUAUCACACAUAAGCAAAUAUACAAGAACACAUGUAUAUGAUCAAUGAAUAUAAAAAUUUCAUGUUCCUGGACUGAUAUAAGUGAUAUGCUAAAAUAUAUGCAUUUGCAAAGUGUGCUAUCAUAUAUAAAUGAUAUGCUAAAGUAUAUGCAUGUGCAAAGUGUGCUAUCAUAGCUCAAAUCGGUAAUUUCAUCAGGAAAAUUAGCCUCUAUGUAAGCUCAAAAUAUGGAUCAAAUAGUUCACAACAGGGUUACAAAUAUAAAAAAUUAUCGCAGUUUAAAGCUUAAUAAUCAAUUUAAGACAUGUCAUAGCCUAAACAUUACCCCGAGCAUGGAUAACUACUCUGGUGCUUGCAUAUGGGCUCAGUCCCCACAUAUAUGCACACCUAUAACAUGUAGCUAUCACAAAUAACUCAGGAAACUAAUGCCUCAAUCAAGUUUAGGUAAGAUACUUACCUCAAGCAAGCCAAACAAUACUCUAGAAACGCCAUUCCGCAUGAAUCGACUUCCAAACGACUCGAAACUUGCCAAAAACAACUCAAAAAUAUCAAAUAAUGCCAAAGGAAACCAACCCAAACGAUAAAGGUCAAAUCUUUUAUCAAAUACUCAAAGUCAACCCCAGGCCCACACCUCAAAACCCGACAAAACUCAUAAAUUCCGACAAUCUAGACUAUUAUGAGUCAUCCAUACUAAUUUAACUCAAAUCCGACUUUGAAUUGAUGUUCAAAACUCAACUAAUCACUUUAGAAAAGUUUAGACAAAAACCCCCAUGUGGUGAAAAUCCUCUCCAAAAUCUCUCAAAACCAAGCUCCAAAUCUAAUAAAUGAGAUAAAAUGAACAAACACUUUGAAUAAAUAGAAAUUUGCCAGCCUAUGCACAUGUGUGAACAACAGGCCGCUCCUGUGACAAAAUUCCCGCUUCUGCAGAGACCACUAAAAUUCCGACCUCUCGCACCUGCGGACAACUUUUCUCUUCUAUGAUAUCGCAUAUGCAAUGUACCUUCCGCUUCUGCGAAGCACUCUCCUAGCAUGCCUUCCCACUUUUGUGCAACUCUGCCUGCCUCUAUGACAUUAUGCCCUAACUUAACCUUUUGCAUCUGCGCCUCCUCACUUGCAUUUGCGGCUCUGCACUUGCGCCCAAAAAUUUUGCAGGUGCAAUGACACUAGACCCCUGCCAAACCAGUCAUCACCAAUAUGACUCAAAGUGGUGCGAAACCCAUCCGAAACUCACCCGAGCCCUUGGGGACCCUGUCCGAGCAUACCAACAAGUUCCAAAACAUAAUGCAGACCUACUCGAGGCCUCAAAUCAUACAUAACAACAUCAAACUACGAAUCAAAGCUCAAAUCAAACUUGAUGAACUUUUGAACUUUCAACUUCCAAAACUCGUGCCGAACCAUAUCAAAUCAAAUCGGAAUGACCUCAAUUUUUGCAAACAAGUUUCAAAUGACAAAACAAACUCGUUCCAACUUCCGAAACAACAUUCCAAUCCCAAUAUCAUUAAGUCAACUCUCGAUCAAACUUAUGAACUAUCCAAAUCUUCAAAUUAUCAACUUUUGCCAAUUAGCUCCAAAACCUUCUAGAAACAUCCAAAUGCAAUUCGGGCAUAUUGCAAGUGUAAAAUCACUAUCCAGACCUAAUAGAAUCGUUAAAACUCCGAUCCAAGGUCAAAUACAUAAAAGUCAAACUCGGUCAAAUCUUCUAGCUUAAAGUCUUCUAUUUGAGAAUUAUUCUUCCAAAUCAAUCCCAAACCACUCGAAAACUAGAACCGACGAUACCCACAAGUGAUAAUUCACCAUAUGAAGCUAAUCAAGACCUCAAACCAGUGAGCUGAAUGCAAAUGCUCAAAACGACCAAUUAGAUCGUUUUAUUUUUACCAUGUCGAAUUUGUCAAUGCUUGAAGUUUGUGGUACUUGACAUUUUUGAAAAAAAUUACCUAUCAUGGGUUCUUGAUACUAAUAUUUACUUAGACACUAAAGGUCAUGGUGACACUAUUAUUCAAGUUAAUGAAGCAUCAAGCUAGGACAAAAAAAGGCUAUGAUUUUUCUUUGUUAUCAUCAGGAUGAAGAUUUGGAGGUUGAGUAUUUGGCAGUAAAAGAUCCACUUGAAUUGUGGACUGGCCUAAAGGAAUUGUAUGAUCACCUUAAGGUUACAAUAUUUCCAGGGCAAGAUAUAAGCGAAUAUAUUUACGGUUGCAAGAUUUAAGAUAGUACUAAGUAUAACUCUGUUGGUGUAUUUCGAAUAACUUCCUAAUUAAAAUUAUAAAGAGAUGUUAUGAAUGAUGAGGAUUUUUUGAAAAAGACUUUUACAAUUUUUCAUGCCUCAAAUAUGGUAUUAUAACAACAAUACCGUGGAAGGGGUUUUAAAAAGUAUUUUGAAUUGAUCUCAUGCCUUCUGGUGGCAGAACAACAUAACACUCUUUUGAUGAGAAACCUAUCUCACAUAGUCAACUUCAUUCCCCGAAGCAAAUGUGAUAGCGACACAUGAUAAGUCUGAAAAAAGAUAAAAUAAUUAUCGUGGCUAUAUAAAUGUGUAACAACCCGAUCGGCCGUUUUAAAAAUUAAUACCUCGAUCCCCUAUUAACUGCUUUUCCUAUGUUUGUUUAUGCUAUUUUGAUUUGCCGGGAUGUUUGGUUUUGAGUUUCGGAGAGUUUUAGGACACUUAGUCCCUAAAUGAGAGUUUAAGUUUUAGAAAUUGGACCGUAGUCGGAGCAGUGUGAAGACAACCUCAAAAUGGAAUUUUGUUGGUUCCAUUAGCUCCGUUGGAUAAUUUUGGGCUUAGGGGCGUAUUCGGAUUGUGUUUUGGAAGUCCGUAGCUAAUUUAGGCUUUAAAUGCCGAAAGUUGAAUUUUUGAAGUUUCCGGUUCGAUAGUGAGAUUUUGAUAUCGGGGUUGAAAUAGAAUUUCAGAGUUGGAGUAGAUUUGUAGUGUUUAAUUUGACGAGUGUGCAAAAUUUCAGGUCAUUCGGACGAGGUUUGAUAGACCUUUUGAUCGAAAGCGUGGUUUGAGAGUUUUUGAAAUUCUUAGGCUUGAAUCCGAUGUAAAAUUGGUGUUUUGAUAUUGUUUUGGACAUUCUGAAGGUUGGAACAAGUUUGAAUGAUGUUUUAGGAUUGGUUCACAUAUUUGGUUGAGGUCCCGGGGGCCUCGGGUGUGUUUCGGGUGGUUAACGGAGGGUUUUUGACCCUAAAAGAAUUGUUGUUGCUGCUGUAUUUCUUGGUUCUGGUUUCCUUAUAUGCGACCACAAUAGUGGGGCUGUGAUCGCAUAGGUUUGUUGGUGAGGCGGCAAAAUUUGUACUAUGCGAUCACCAAGAUUGGGCCGCGAUCACAAAGUGAGAGGAGUCAAAGCAGUGCGGUCGCAUGAGGUUGUACGCGAACGCAUAGUGUGGACGCGUGUGGCAUGGGGUGAUUGGUUACUCUGUGCGAACACGGUUGGGUGUAUGAGAUUGCGUGGAGGGAGGAGAGCCAGUGCUAUACAAACACGUGUGAUGGAUCGCGAACGCACUGAAAAAUUUUAAUAAAAAGCUGGGCAGUGUUUUAAUAGCCCAAUCUGCGACCCUUCUCCAUUUUUCUACCAUUCUUGAACGAGAUUAAAGCUUUUGAGAGAGAUAUUUGAGGAAACCAAAGGGGAAUCAUUUGGAGGUAAUAUUCUUGACUUCAUAACUCAUUUAUAUUGUCACACCUCCUUUUUACCUACCCCAGAAGGGAUAUAAGGGAGUCUUUUCCAAUUUAAGUGACAAUCGAAACAUGAAUAUUUAAAUUAAAAUCAGAGUCGCCACUUGGAAUAAUUUAUGGUGUCCCAAGUCACCAGUUUUAGAAUCCCAAAUCGAGGAAAGAUUGACUCUGUUUUACAGUCCGCGAAACACAGAAAUCCAGGUAAGGAAUUCUGUUAACCUGGAAGAAGGUGUUAGGCAUUCCCGGGUUCCGUGGUUCUAGCACAGUCGCUGAACUAUUAUUAUUAGAUCAAUUAUCUGAUGUAAUUACACAUUUUAAACCUACGUUCCCUUUUAACUUUUGGUCGCUUUUAAUAUUUCAGGAAAUUUUAAGGUUAUUUAAAACAUAUCGUAAGCCACGCUACAUGAAACGCACCUGCGGUUCACGACGCGCUUUAUUUAACCUUGUUAGAAAUUAGAAUCGGGUCACAUGAAAUGCACCCCGGAUUUUAGUAAUUACAAAUCACAACUACGUCACGAGAACCAUACCCGUAGCCAUGAUAAUUAUUUAAUUAACGUGCCUAAAGCAAACUACGAAAUUUAUUUUAGUAUCUAAGUUAUAAGAUUAAUAAGAGGGCCAUAAAGGAUUUAAUUAGGAUGUCACACCCCAAUACAAUUAAAAGGGCUAUUCCUAAUUAUGCUUAUAGAACUAAUGUGUUAACCCUUUCAAAUAACAAUCACAUUCUUAAUUCUAACUUAACAGGCGCAUUCAAUUAUCUUUUAAACAAAUCUGACUUUUCACAGCAUAUUACAAUACCUCAAACACUCCCCAAAUUCCGAAGUUCUUUAACCAAAUCACUGAAAAGCUCACAACAAAUCACAACACAAUUUUGUGCGAAGCAACUCUCGAUAGAAUUUUCCAUUCUGUAGCAUACUUGACAUGUUAAAAUCAUAAAAAAUUUCUAAACUGAAUGGGCAAAUACUCAUAAAUAGGGCAGUUUUUUAUUCCCGAACUUUAAUUCUUCAACAACACAUAUUGCUCAUAUUUUAAAAUCAAAGAACACCACCAAGGAAUCAUACAAAACCCAUAGUCAAUUCAUGAUUUACUAAUAGCUACAAGGCCAAGCAAAUUGCAGACAACCACAGAGCAAUACAACCCCAAACACUAGCUCAAAUCAUAUUUAGCUCUAAAGUGAAAUAAAAGAGAUUAGAAGUAACCUGAAAUUAGCUUUCCAAUUAAUAUUAUUUUUGGCAGUUACAAAAAGUGACUCGAGCCAAAUUGAAUGAAUCGGCAACGAAGGUUUUCAAACGGAAUCACCAAAGAGAAGAUGGAAGCCUUGACCGGAAACUAUGACGAAUUCACACGGGAACUCAGACUCUAACCUCGAGCAGCAGUCAUGCUACUCGAACUUGAACACCUCGAGCAAUCUCCAUCUUUUGCAACCAAAAUAGAAUUUGAAAAGAAGAGAUGAAACUUAUAUUAUUUUUGUAUUUUUGGAUUUGUGGCAGAGAUGAAACAAGAAGGAUCUGAGUUUGCUUUCAUGUGUUUUUAUGGACUUUAGAUAGAAUGAAAUCCCAAACUAAGGAGGCAAACACAAAACUGAAAAUCUCUGUCCGUUUCCCCCAAAUUUCAGUUCGAUUUUUCUCUGUUUCGUUCUUCUUCGGCUGUUUUCCUAUAUUUCAUGUAUAUGACUGCUCUAAGUUAAAGACAGGAAGGUGAAGAUGGGGUCUGGUUCGUGUCCGUUUGGUCACUGCUGUAGGUUGUGGGUGCGUGUAUAGAGAUAGAGAUGAGGUCUUGGUUGCUUGGGGUGUGGAGGAGAUGAGGAGUUCUAUUGUUUUUGUCAAUGGUGAAAGGAGUGGGUGUUUGGUUGAAGAAGAAAGCAAAACCGAUGGAGGAGGGGGCUCUUCUGUG